Molecule: long non-coding RNA, 2124 nt
Organism: Mustela erminea (ermine)
Lineage: Eukaryota; Metazoa; Chordata; Mammalia; Carnivora; Mustelidae
Exons: 2
Source: RefSeq, a predicted model, not a curated record
CAGAUAAAUAAAUAAAACCUUUAAAAAAAAGAAAAAAAAAGAAAUCAGGGAAUCAACCACUGACUGGGUCUAUCAACCAGGGACCCAGUACUUCAUUUAUUACUGGGCUCAUCUGCCCUCACUCUAACAGAGGCCCACGAUGACUCUGCAUCUUCUGAUUUCAGUCUCAACUCUGCCCCUUGUUCAGCAAUUCUCAAAAUGUACAUUUUGAGUAUUUCCUUUCUCCAGUGGGUGGUUACUUGAGUCAAUGGCUGUUGGUUCCUUUGUGGGAGGAGGAGAAAAAUCAUUCUCUCUCCAUUUGGUGUUGACUUCUUCCUCUUAAAGCCUUAAGAGUUUCUGUCUGAAAAUUGGCUCAGAUCCAGAUGCUGGGCAAGGAGUCAUGGCUGCUCACUGGGGCAACUGUCCUCAGCCACCUAGUUGUCUAUCCAUGAAUGGUUUGAUUUUGUUUGAGGAGCCCACUCAUUGGCUACCUGUCUGUUUCACCCACCCUUGUCCUGGGAACCAUCUCUAAAACUCAUCAGGUGACUUCCUCCACAUGCCUUAACUUCCCUUAUCAUGAGCUCAUGUGCAUGGCUUCUGACUGAAGCCCAGCCCUUUUUGCCUGUACUGUUGUACAGUCCUAUUGUCCCCACUUUGCUUGAAUAUCUGAACACUGAUACCUCAUACCAGCUUGUUUCCUUUUUAUACCGCCCUAGUUCGCCAGUGGUAAAAAGUGUUACAACCUGCACAUUCUGGAACUAUCUACCUUAUGCCAGGACCUUAUGCUCCAUCUACCACCAGUGCUGAGGGCCUUGGGACCAGCCAGAUGGUGACCCAGAUCCUAAAAUCUGCUGCCUCCACCCCUUCCGAUACAAAUUGAUCCAAGCAAGACUGUCUGGGAAGCAGCCUCUGAGAUAGAGCUCAGUCCAUAGGAGUGCUCUUGGGAUCAGGACCCAGGGAUGGAAAGAAGUGAAGGUGUUUUGGGAGAAUGGAUUUGAGGUGAGCUCGUGGUGGCAGGGAGACAAGAGCCUUCUCCAAGAGCUGCAGCGGUGGGGACAAGGGGUAGCUGCUAUCCGAGUGUCACAUCAUCUGCUGACACACUAGGAGGACCCAGUACCGGGGGACUGAUCAUCUUGAAAGCAGAGCUCUGACUCCCUCUAGGAGCCCUAGUCAUUAUCUGGACACGGCAGUGCUGGGGACUGGGAUUAAAGAACCCGUGCCCAGCGGGUUCCAACCCAGGCGGAGGGGGCCCUGGUGCACUGGGGGCAACACCUUCUAUUCAGCACACCCUGUAUCAGAUGCUAAGUAUUUGGCAAGCAUUAGUUCAUUUGAUUUUCCUAACAACCCGACACACUACUAUCUUCAUCUCCACUUUACCAAUGUUAAGACGAUGGAAUCAGUCACUUGCUCCAGAUCACACCGCCCGUAAGGGUUGAGCGGGGUCUCCAUCCCAGAGGUGCCACAGAAAGUCAUAGAACAGAUAUUUUAAGAUCUACAAGGUCUUAAAGGUUUACCUAUUUACCUGGAAGAUUUUCUCCAGCAAAAUAUGAGCGAGGGGAGUGACACAGGAAAUGAGAUCAAACCCAGUGAGUGACACACCUGACGUAAGACCCCUGAUGGAGCAGAACGUCACACUCGAGAUAAAUGGAGGGCUGGCGCCAUGAGGCCCCACAGCUGUUGUCCCCGAACCUGUGAGUCUGUUAUGCUGAGUCUCAUGGAUUUCUACUCAGCAAUGUGCUUACAUUCCUGCUUUUCUCCCUGCUGUGUUGUCUACAACAUGCAGCUCACCCUCAGAGAAGCAUUCUGCUGUCCUUGACACUGGAGGUGGACCAGCGUGUUUAGAAGAUAAAAAAACGCCCCCAGCCCCAUUCCUUGCUAACAUUCCUGAAGGCGAUCUGGUACCUUGAACACCCGUACCUCAGCCUCAUUCAUCAACCCACCCAGUGACUCUUACAAAGGCUCAGGGAAGCCAGAAAAGGACCCUGGGGGCCGUCCAGCUUCUCCCCCGCAGCCCUCUUAUAGGAAGGCAGUACUGUUCCUUACAGGCUUGUGGUUGCUCAUCAGUUUUCCUAUUACUCACUGUUCAAUUCAUUUUUGUGGAAGCAGUUGGCAAAAUAAUAAAGCAUUUGAAGACAUCUUUCUAAA